AGUGAACGCUGGCGGCGUGCUUAACACAUGCAAGUCGAACGAGAACGGAUUAUAGCUUGCUAUAAUUGUCAGCUAAGUGGCGCACGGGUGAGUAAUGUAUAGGUAAUAUGCCUCUUACUAAGGGAUAACAAAUGGAAACGUUUGCUAAUACCUUAUACUCCUUAUUAACAGAAGUUAAUAAGGGAAAGAUUUAUUGGUAAGAGAUUAGCCUGUAUUGUAUCAGUUAGUUGGUGGGGUAAUGGCUUACCAAGACUAUGACACAUAGCUGGUUUGGAAGGAGGAUCAGUCACACUGGAACUGGGACAGGGUACAGACUCCUACGGGAGGCAGCAGUGGCGAAUAUUGCACAAUGGACGAAAGUCUGAGGCAGCACCGCCGCGUGGAGGAUGACACAUUUCGGUGCGUAAACUCCUUUUAUAUGAGAAGAUAAUGACGGUAUUAUAUGAAUAAGCACCGGCUAACUCCGUGCCAGCCGCCGCUGUAA
Molecule: ribosomal RNA, 484 nt
Filed under: uncultured bacterium
Lineage: Bacteria
Description: partial 16S ribosomal RNA
Rfam family: Bacterial small subunit ribosomal RNA
Source: RNAcentral